CCCAGACUCCUACGGGAGGCAGCAGUGGGGAAUAUUGCACAAUGGGGGGAACCCUGAUGCAGCGACGCCGCGUGGGUGAAGGAGUACUUCGGUACGUAAAGCCCUAUCAGCAGGAAAGAAAAUGACGGUACCUGACUAAGAAGCCCCGGCUAACUACGUGCCAGCAGCCGCGGUAAUACGUAGGGGGCAAGCGUUAUCCGGAUUUACUGGGUGUAAAGGGAGCGUAGACGGCAGUGCAAGUCCGGAGUGAAAGCCCGGGGCUCAACCCUGGGACUGCUCUGGAAACUGUAAAGCUGGAGUGCGGGAGGGGCAGGCGGAAUUCCUGGUGUAGCGGUGAAAUGCGUAGAUAUCAGGAGGAACACCGGCGGCGAAGGCGGCCUGCUGGACCGUAACUGACGUUGAGGCUCGAAAGCGUGGGGAGCAAACAGGAUUAGAUACCCUUGUAC
This 446-nucleotide ribosomal RNA is filed under the name uncultured bacterium. RNAcentral's name for it is "bacterial SSU rRNA". It matches the Rfam family "Bacterial small subunit ribosomal RNA", at positions 330 to 793 of the family's 1533-position model. The record is from RNAcentral.